RNAcentral lists this ribosomal RNA (253 nucleotides) under uncultured bacterium. RNAcentral's name for it is "partial 16S ribosomal RNA". It matches the Rfam family "Bacterial small subunit ribosomal RNA", at positions 524 to 776 of the family's 1533-position model. The record is from RNAcentral.
UACGGAGGGAGCUAGCGUUGUUCGGAAAUACUGGGCGUAAAGCGCACGUAGGCGGCGCAGUAAGUCAGGGGUGAAAUCCCGGGGCUCAACCCCGGAACUGCCCUUGAAACUGCAGUGCUAGAAUCUUGGAGAGGCGAGUGGAAUUCCGAGUGUAGAGGUGAAAUUCGUAGAUAUUCGGAAGAACACCAGUGGCGAAGGCGACUCGCUGGACAAGUAUUGACGCUGAGGUGCGAAAGCGUGGGGAGCAAACAGG